This 399-nucleotide ribosomal RNA is filed under the name uncultured Woloszynskia. Its description in RNAcentral is "partial small subunit ribosomal RNA". It matches the Rfam family "Eukaryotic small subunit ribosomal RNA", at positions 30 to 432 of the family's 1831-position model. The record is from RNAcentral. Lineage: Eukaryota; Dinophyceae; Gymnodiniales; Tovelliaceae.
GCUUGUCUCAAAGAUUAAGCCAUGCAUGUCUUAGUGUAAAUAACUCUUAUGAAACUGCGAAUGGCUCAUUAAAUCAGUUAUCGUUUAUUUGAUGGUCGCUUUCUACAUGGAUAACGUGGGUAAUCCUCAUGCUAAUACAUGCGUCAAGCCCCAACUUUUUGGAAGGGUCGUGUUUAUUAGGUACAGAACCAACUCAAGCUCUGCUUGAUUCUUUGGUGAAUCAUGAUAACUGAAUGAAUUGCAUGCUUCGGCGGCAAUAUGUCAUUCAAGUUUCUGACCUAUCAGCUUCCGACGGUAGGGUAUUGGCCUACCGUGGCAAUGACGGGUAACGGAGAAUUAGGGUUCGAUUCCGGAGAGGGAGCCUGAGAAACGGCUACCACAUCUAAGGAAGGCAGCAGG